This 459-nucleotide ribosomal RNA is filed under the name uncultured bacterium. RNAcentral's name for it is "partial 16S ribosomal RNA". It matches the Rfam family "Bacterial small subunit ribosomal RNA", at positions 338 to 795 of the family's 1533-position model. The record is from RNAcentral.
CCUACGGGAGGCAGCAGUGAGGAAUAUUGGUCAAUGGCCGGAAGGCUGAACCAGCCAAGCCGCGUGAAGGACGAAGGUGCCAAGCAUUGUAAACUUCUUUUGUCAAGGGACAAAAUCAGGCUCGAGAGCCUGACCGAGGGUCAGUGAAGAAAAAGCAUCGGCUAACUCCGUUCCAUCAGCCGCGGUAAUACGGGGGAUGCGAGCGUUAUCCGGAUUUAUUGGGUUUAAGGGGUGCGUAGGCGGGCUGUUAAGUCAGCGGGAAAAGCCCGGGGCUCAACCCCGGCGAGACGGUGAAACUGGCUGUCUUGAGAUGUCGAGAGGUAGGCGGAAUGCGCAGUGUAGCGGUGAAAUGCUUAGAUAUUGCGCAGAACUCCGAUUGCGAAGGCAGCAUACCGGCGGCGAUCUGACGCUGAGGCACGAAAGCGUGGGUAUCGAACAGGAUUAGAUACCCGUGUAGUC